CAGUCGCCGCGGUAAUACGAAGGGGGCUAGCGUUGUUCGGAAUUACUGGGCGUAAAGCGCACGUAGGCGGAUAUUUAAGUCAGGGGUGAAAUCCCAGAGCUCAACUCUGGAACUGCCUUUGAUACUGGGUAUCUUGAGUAUGGAAGAGGUGAGUGGAAUUCCGAGUGUAGAGGUGAAAUUCGCAGAUAUUCGGAGGAACACCAGUGGCGAAGGCGGCUCACUGGUCCAUUACUGACGCUGAGGUGCGAAAGCGUGGGGAGCAAACAGGAUUAGAUCCCCCGUAGUCCCUGUCUCUUAUACA
This 301-nucleotide ribosomal RNA is filed under the name uncultured bacterium. Its description in RNAcentral is "partial 16S ribosomal RNA". It matches the Rfam family "Bacterial small subunit ribosomal RNA", at positions 509 to 808 of the family's 1533-position model. The record is from RNAcentral.